Molecule: ribosomal RNA, 425 nt
Filed under: uncultured bacterium
Lineage: Bacteria
Description: partial 16S ribosomal RNA
Rfam family: Bacterial small subunit ribosomal RNA
Source: RNAcentral
GUGGGGAAUCUUGCGCAAUGGGCGAAAGCCUGACGCAGCCAUGCCGCGUGAAUGAUGAAGGUCUUAGGAUUGUAAAAUCCUUUCACCGGUGAAGAUAAUGACUGUAGCCGGAGAAGAAGCCCCGGCUAACUUCGUGCCAGCAGCCGCGGUAAUACGAAGGGGGCUAGCGUUGCUCGGAAUUACUGGGCGUAAAGGGAGCGUAGGCGGACAUUUAAGUCAGGUGUGAAAUCCCGAGGCUCAACCUCGGAACUGCCUUUGAUACUGGGUGUCUUGAGUGUGAGAGAGGUGAGUGGAACUCCGAGUGUAGAGGUGAAAUUCGUAGAUAUUCGGAAGAACACCAGUGGCGAAGGCGACUCACUGGCUCAUUACUGACGCUGAGGCUCGAAAGCGUGGGGAGCAAACAGGAUUAGAAACCCCGGUAGUCC